RNAcentral lists this ribosomal RNA (1407 nucleotides) under Triticum aestivum (bread wheat). Its description in RNAcentral is "partial small subunit ribosomal RNA". Lineage: Eukaryota; Viridiplantae; Streptophyta; Magnoliopsida; Poales; Poaceae. The record is from RNAcentral.
AUGCUAGCAAGAUGGGCAACAUAUCUUGAGAGGUUUAACUAUCUCAUCGUGCAUAAAUCUGGAAUAACUAACAGAGUGGCCGAUGCUUUGAGUCGUCGUGCAUGCCUCUUGACUUCUUUUGAAGCUGAACUUCCGGGCAUGGGUCAAAUAAAGGAGUUGUAUGAGGGUGACGAAGACUUUGGCCAUGUUUGGGUAAAGCACGCAAGGGGCCAACCAUUAGGUGAUGACUAUUUGAUGCAAGAUGGAUAUCUCUUCAAAAAUGAUCGUUUGUGCAUUCCAAGAAGUUCUCUACGUGACAAGCUGGUUAGAGAGCUCCAUUCAAGUGAUCUUAGUGGCCAUGUUGGACGGGACAAGACUAUCGCUAACCUAGAAGCUCGCUACUUUUGGCCACAACUAAAGAGAGAUGCUGGAAAGUUCGUUCAACGGUGCCCCGUAUGUCAGACCUGCAAAGGCCAAGUCCAGAACACAAGGUUAUACAUGCCUUUGCCUGUUCCUGUUGCUCCAUGGGAGGACAUUUCUAUGGACUUCGUCUUGGGCUUGCCAAGAACAAGACGAGGAAGUGAUGCUGUAUUUGUGGUCGUGGAUAGAUUCUCUAAGAUGGCUCAUUUCAUCCCAUGCCGCAAGACAACGGAUGCUCAUCAUGUGGCAAACCUAUUCUUUCGAGAAGUGGUCAGACUUCAUGGAGUUCCAAGGUCCAUUGUCUCAGACCGUGAUAGCAAGUUUCUUGCUGCAUUUUGGCUCACUUUGUGGAAGCAAUUCAACACUGAAUUGAAAUUUUCUAGCACUGCUCAUCCACAAACAGAUGGACAAACGGAAGUGGUGAACAAGUUUUUGGGUAAUCUGAUCCGUUGCAUUUGUGGAGAAAGAAAGGGGCAAUGGGAUUUGGCUUUAUCUCUUGCAGAGUUCUCCUACAAUAACUCCAAGCAUAGAUCCACAGGAAGGAGCCCUUUUUCCAUUGUCUACACUAAAGUUCCAACACAUGUGGUGGACCUGGUGAAGCUGCCAUCAAGGGGAAACUCAAAAUCAGCAUUGUCCUUUGCUGAUAAUUACACCGAGUUAUUUGAAGAGAUUCGCGGCGCUUUGGAAGCACAAAAUCAGAAAUAUAAACAACUUGCUGAUUGCAAAAAGAGGCCAAAAUCAUUCCAAGUCGGUGAUAAGGUGAUGGUCUACCUCCGAAAAGAGAGGCUGCCUUUAGGUGUUAAAGGGAAACUUAGGCAGCGAAGGUAUGGCUCUAUCACGAGGAAGAUAAAUGAUAAUGCUUAUGUGAUAGAUCUUCCAAGUGACAUGGGUAUCUCCAACACUUUCAAUGUUGCGGACUUGACUCUCUACCAUCCAGAAGAAGCGCUCUAUGAAGAUAACUCGAGGGCGAGUUCCAAACAACCAGGGGAGAAUGAUGAGGAACACUAG